RNAcentral lists this ribosomal RNA (252 nucleotides) under uncultured bacterium. RNAcentral's name for it is "partial 16S ribosomal RNA". It matches the Rfam family "Bacterial small subunit ribosomal RNA", at positions 524 to 776 of the family's 1533-position model. The record is from RNAcentral.
UACGUAGGGUGCGAGCGUUGUCCGGAAUUAUUGGGCGAAAGAGCUUGUAGGCGGUUUGUCGCGUCUGCCGUGAAAAUUCGAGGCUCAACCUCGAACUUGCGGUGGGUACGGGCAGACUAGAGUGUGGUAGGGGAGACUGGAAUUCCUGGUGUAGCGGUGAAAUGCGCAGAUAUCAGGAGGAACACCGAUGGCGAAGGCAGGUCUCUGGGCAGUAACUGACGCUGAGGAGCGAAAGCGUGGGGAGCGAACAGG